UGGCCAUGGCCUCCCUCUCUCUCUCUCUCUAUCGGGAUCUGGUAAUUCUGAUCUGAGAAGGAAGGAAGGUGGCGAUGGUGGAUGGGUGCCGAUGCCGAUCUGAAAUUCUGAAUCCGAUCUUUCUCUUCCGCUCGAGAGGGUAGAAGAAUGUAUCGUCGACGGAGAGAGAGAGUAGGAAAAUGGCGGAACUGACCCUCCCUCCUGGCCUUGCUUAGCAGGCCGCAGUUUCAGCCCUUUCCCUAUCUAUCGGCCUAAGUCACCCCAAAUCGAAGCCCAUUCAAACAAGGCCCAUUUGUGGGAGCUCACUGCUUUUUAACUGCUCGCGUG
RNAcentral lists this long non-coding RNA (327 nucleotides) under Oryza brachyantha (malo sina). RNAcentral's name for it is "long non-coding RNA (OBRA_LNC003556)". The record is from RNAcentral. Lineage: Eukaryota; Viridiplantae; Streptophyta; Magnoliopsida; Poales; Poaceae.